AAGAGGUGUUGAAGAGGUUUGCUAAUCUCAUUCCCUAGCAUUCACAUAACACGCGAUCAAAUUGACUUUAGAUAAUGCUGCCGAGUUGAAGUCUGGACUAAUUACACACUAUAGAUGUUGUCAGAAGAAUAAACUAAAGAUAAAGCAACAAUUUCCUGUUUGCGACCCCUCUCCAAGAUGAAGAAGAGCCCUUGUACAACACAUUGUAAUAAUGUCAAGCUGUUGACUGACUUCAUACUACGUCGAUUUGUUAAUUGUUUUCAUCUCUAGAAUUCAUUAUACAUGUGAGUUUUUAGACGAAUGAUAAAGAGAAUGCAACAAUUGCCUGCUGGCAAGCUAUCUCGGAGAUGAAAAACGGCCCUUUAAGCUGUUCACUGACUUUAUAGUACGCCGGUAAGCAGUGGUGUAUUUUUUGUAUAAUUCCCAGUCUCUUCUCCUCAGAGUCUAUAUAGUGUUGAAAUUUGGGACAUCCAUUUAACACACUCUAAUGCGCUGAAACAACACACAAUCAUACUGUUUUUCUGUAUAUCUUUGUGUACCGUACUUAUUCGAUUUAAAGCGACCCUCCAAAUAUGCGACACCCUCGAUCUUUUCCAAUUUUCUGACCUCUAAAAAUAGCGAUUGCAGCGUUCACAAUUAUUUUUUUAUGUCGCGUCCUAAAUAGAGGUCAAACCACAGCCUCGAAUCCAGGCCGCAAGAAACAAUGUAAUUAAGCGGCCUAUAAUCGAGGACUAGAAUAAUCUCCAAUUAGAUGCGACUCUCUAAAUAUGCGACACCAGGACUUCAACAUAAUUUUUCAACCUCCAAAAGAAACGACCUCUGACUUCGUAAUUAUUUAAAAGUGUCACUUUAAAUCGAACAAGUACGGCAUCUGCACAAAAACAAGACAAAUAUAAAUACAUGCAUGCGACUGUGGGGAUGUGAAGACACGGACAUGAUAAUGAGAGACAUAUUAUAUAAUAAUUAUAGCUGAACAAUUAAUAUCUUGUUGUUUUCUUGUCUUCUUUGUCUUUGAAUUGUGACCUUUGAAGCAU
Halichondria panicea is the source of this 1034-nucleotide long non-coding RNA. RefSeq lists it as uncharacterized. Lineage: Eukaryota; Metazoa; Porifera; Demospongiae; Suberitida; Halichondriidae. The transcript has 6 exons. The record is from RefSeq and is a predicted model, not a curated record.